CCUACGGGCGGCAGCAGUGAGGAAUAUUGGUCAAUGGACGAGAGUCUGAACCAGCCAAGUAGCGUGAAGGAUGACUGCCCUAUGGGUUGUAAACUUCUUUUAUAAAGGAAUAAAACGAGGCACGUGUGCCUUUUUGCAUGUACUUUAUGAAUAAGGAUCGGCUAACUCCGUGCCAGCAGCCGCGGUAAUACGGAGGAUCCGAGCGUUGUCCGGAUUUAUUGGGUUUAAAGGGAGCGUAGAUGGGUUGUUAAGUCAGUUGUGAAAGUUUGCGGCUCAACCGUAAAAUUGCAAUUGAUACUGGCAGUCUUGAGGACAGUUGAGGUAGGCGGAAUUCGUGGUGUAGCGGUGAAAGGCUUAGAUAGCACGAAGAACCCCGAUUGCGAAGGCAGCUUACUAAACUGUGACUGACAUUGAUGCUCGAAAGUGUGGGUAUCAAACAGGAUUAGAUACCCCGGUAGUC
Molecule: ribosomal RNA, 460 nt
Filed under: uncultured bacterium
Lineage: Bacteria
Description: partial 16S ribosomal RNA
Rfam family: Bacterial small subunit ribosomal RNA
Source: RNAcentral